AUACGGAGGGUCCAAGCGUUAUCCGGAUUCAUUGGGUUUAAAGGGUCCGCAGGCGGGAAAAUAAGUCAGUGGUGAAAGCCUACAGCUCAACUGUAGAACUGCCAUUGAUACUGUUUUUCUUGAGUAUAGAUGAAGUGGGCGGAAUAUAUCAUGUAGCGGUGAAAUGCAUAGAUAUGAUAUAGAACACCGAUUGCGAAGGCAGCUCACUAAACUAUUACUGACGCACAGGGACGAAAGCGUGGGGAGCGAACAGGAUUAGAAACCCUAGUAGUCC
This 274-nucleotide ribosomal RNA is filed under the name uncultured bacterium. RNAcentral describes it as "partial 16S ribosomal RNA". It matches the Rfam family "Bacterial small subunit ribosomal RNA", at positions 523 to 796 of the family's 1533-position model. The record is from RNAcentral.